RNAcentral lists this ribosomal RNA (62 nucleotides) under Phymatidium microphyllum. Its description in RNAcentral is "partial 26S ribosomal RNA". The record is from RNAcentral. Lineage: Eukaryota; Viridiplantae; Streptophyta; Magnoliopsida; Asparagales; Orchidaceae.
ACGCCUUCAUGGGCAUAUGAUUGCUUGGAAUGUGACCCCAGGACGGGCGAGGAUACCCGCCG